UGAGGAACAUGACCUUCGGCGGGGGAGUAGCCGGCCCAACGGCCGGGUAAUACCGCGUACGACCACUUUGGGACAUCCCUAGGUGGUGAAAGCAGCAAUGCGCCGAUGGAGUGCCUCGCGGCCUAUCAGCUAGUUGGGUGGGGUAACGGCUCACCAAGGCAACGAUGCGUAGCCGGCCUGAGAGGGUGAUCGGCCACAUUGGAACUGAGACACGGUCCAGACCUCCGUACGGGGAGGNACGACG
Molecule: ribosomal RNA, 244 nt
Filed under: uncultured bacterium
Lineage: Bacteria
Description: partial 16S ribosomal RNA
Rfam family: Bacterial small subunit ribosomal RNA
Source: RNAcentral